UGUGGAUUUUCUAUAAAAUUUCCAUAUGUUUAGCAAUGAGUCAACACAAAUGUACAUAAUCCUCAAAAGCAGAAAAUAUUACAGACUAAGGUAAAUAGAUAUAAGAAGAUGUGAUAUGAGUGCCAAUGAAACAACUCUCCAUCCAUAUAACAAUAUAUAAGAGUAAACCUUUAAAGGUCAAGAUACGGCCUUCAACACGGAGCCUUAGCUCACCCCGAACAGCAAGCUAUAAAGGGCCCCCCCAAAAAACCUAGUGUAAAACUUUUCAAACGGGAAAACCAACGGUCUUAUCGAUAUAAAAACGAGAAACGAGAAACACUUUGGAACCACAUAAGCAGACGACAACCACUGAGCAUCGGAUUCCUGUCUUAGAACAUGUGCAAACAAUU
This 389-nucleotide long non-coding RNA is filed under the name Mytilus galloprovincialis (Mediterranean mussel). Lineage: Eukaryota; Metazoa; Mollusca; Bivalvia; Mytilida; Mytilidae. The record is from RNAcentral.